AACCUGGUCUCCAGAGUUGUGCAUGCAAACGCCCUAGCGCGGUGGGCUCCAUCGUCCUCACCCCUGAGAGACCCCCCUGUUCCAUCUGGUGCCCCAAACAGGGACCCCUGGCACCUCUGGAUGGAAGGUGAGAAAAAUCCCGUGUGGAUUCCUGCCCGUAACAUCAAACCCUGCACCACCAGCAAUGAGCCAUAGACCACCAUCACCAUCACCCCUGGUAGAGGAAAUGGAGGACCUGACCAUAGAGGACAACCAGCCCCGGCGGCAGAGACGACCAAGACACUGACGGGCCCACAACAUUACCUGGGAGACAUCAACAAUCUACAGGACCAAGCCGCACGCAUGGCACCAGAAGGCAAUCCAUCGGCAGGGACAUUAUUCCUAUUAAUGUCUGCCAUCUGUGUAACGCCCAUUCCAGUGAGAAAUGCCUCCUGGGAGCGC
Myotis brandtii (Brandt's bat) is the source of this 441-nucleotide long non-coding RNA. RefSeq lists it as uncharacterized. The record is from RefSeq and is a predicted model, not a curated record. The transcript is spliced from 2 exons. Lineage: Eukaryota; Metazoa; Chordata; Mammalia; Chiroptera; Vespertilionidae.